GUUUUUUCAAAAGUGCCUGUUUCCCAAGCAGAUGUCAAUGAAGAGCUUGAGGUGACAAAUGUGACUUACACAAAGAAACAUCAAGGUGCAUCAAAAUCCUGCGAGAUGAUCAUGUGAACCCAAAACACGACAUGCGGAUUCCACAAUUCGGACCAGAUGCCAAAAUAGCAGUCAGACGAUUCCACCCGAGUGCAAAAGCCAAACCAGAGCCAUCACGGAAGGUGAAGCCAGAGGAGUCUUCCAGGAUUGAAACGACGACAUCACGUGGUCCAUGACGGAUUUGGGAGUGAAUCGGGACGGGCGGCUCUGGCAUGCACAGAUAACCCACUUGGCAUAAAGAGGAGCUACACAAUCCACAUAUUACACCCUGCUGCUGUUUUCAGGAGGUCCAUAAACGAGGGAAGGAGUGGAUUUGGGCUCCGAGCCUCCGGUUUUGGGGGCCGUGGCCUGAGAUGCCAGGGGCCGGUUGGUCGGUGUGUUUGGGAAGAGGGUAUCAGGAAGGCUUAAGCUCAAACAUACAA
Molecule: non-coding RNA, 521 nt
Organism: Pimephales promelas (fathead minnow)
Lineage: Eukaryota; Metazoa; Chordata; Actinopteri; Cypriniformes; Leuciscidae
Source: RefSeq, a predicted model, not a curated record